UUUAUACUCCCUCCGUCCCAAAAAUUUUAUCUUAGAUUUGUCUAAAUACGGAUGUAUCAAGUCACGUUUUAGCGUUAGAUACAUCCAUAUGUAGACAAAUCUAAGAUAAGAAUUUUGGGACGGAGUGAGUAUAUA
Molecule: non-coding RNA, 135 nt
Organism: Triticum aestivum (bread wheat)
Lineage: Eukaryota; Viridiplantae; Streptophyta; Magnoliopsida; Poales; Poaceae
Source: Rfam